AAGGUAUGUCGUGAAUUCAUUUUAAUUGACGUUGUAAUUUAUUGAUUUAGUGGAACUCGUUUAUAUGCUUAUAUGACAAAUUAUAUUUCAAGGCCUACACUCUUAGCAACUUGGUAAAUAAUUCUUAAUAAGCGUCUUUACCGAGCUCUUGGUAAUUACGCGUCCUACAAAAAUUAUACGGGGUUAUUACCGUAUCAAUACCAAACGGGUAACUGGCCCUCCACCGCAAUGUUCUAAGUUAUCUUUAUAAUUUUGGUAAUAAACUCCUACGAGCCGGUAAUUAUAUCCUACAAAUUUAGAUAACACUCUUUACCAUAAUUUUAGUAAAGUGCAGAACAAAUUGUUUCCGUUGUGGUGCUAAUGAGAUCUACAUUUCGGUGUAGUUUAUUACCAUGGAGUUUUAGUUUCCGCUCAGCUCAAAUCAAGUCAACAUGGCGAAAUUAUCCAGUGUCCAGUGUUGCCCGUGGGAAAAAACUGAUAAAAACUUCUGGAAAUUACAUUUUUGGAAAUAGUGAAACAAUAAUUUGAGUUGGAAAUCGGAGCAGAGAUUUUUCUGCAAGACGACCAGUGACCAGGGGGAUGAGAUCGACAUUAAUGUUUAUUUAAAGUUAAAUACUCGGAUCCAAUGUUUAGUAUUGCUAACGCGUAAGAUUGAUAUACAUAUGCAUUCGUUUGCUUUGAGAUAAUGCAAAAUUGUAAAACAGUCGGUAAUUAUAUAAGUGUACGGCAAAAACUCUGAAAUAUUUAGUUCGAUUUAAGUUUCAGGUAAAUAUGUAUAUAUGUGUAUGUAUGUGGUAACUAGAUAGUUUGCAUUAUACUUAA
Folsomia candida is the source of this 822-nucleotide long non-coding RNA. RefSeq lists it as uncharacterized. The record is from RefSeq and is a predicted model, not a curated record. The transcript is spliced from 3 exons. Lineage: Eukaryota; Metazoa; Arthropoda; Collembola; Entomobryomorpha; Isotomidae.